RNAcentral lists this ribosomal RNA (121 nucleotides) under Thermus sp. The record is from RNAcentral. Lineage: Bacteria; Thermotogati; Deinococcota; Deinococci; Thermales; Thermaceae.
NCUCGGACCACCAUACCGGGGGGGAAACACCCGGUCCCAUUCCGAACCCGGAAGUUAAGCCCCCCAGGGCCGAUGAUAGCCUCGCCCCGAGCGAGGUGAAAGUAGGUCGUGGUCCGGGCAC